CAUUACAGAGUUCCUGCCCUCACGGGUAGAAACCCCACCCUUGUGUAUAUUAUAUUGUUGCUUUAGCAGGUCGCCCUCUGGGGCGUCGGCCUCGGCUGACUGUGCCUGCUAGAGGACCCUAAACUUUGAAAUACAGUGUCGUCUGAGUACUAUUUAAUAGUUAAAACUUUCAACAACGGAUCUCUUGGUUCUGGCAUCGAUGAAGAACGCAGCGAAAUGCGAUAAGUAAUGUGAAUUGCAGAAUUCAGUGAAUCAUCGAAUCUUUGAACGCACAUUGCGCCCCUUGGUAUUCCGGGGGGCAUGCCUGUUCGAGCGUCAUUUAGACCAACUCCCGCUCCGGCGGGGUCUUGGGCUGCGCCUUUGGGCGGGCCUUAAAACCAGUGGCGGUGCCCUAAGGCUCUACGCGUAGUAAUUCUUCUCGCGAUAGGGUCCUUGCGGUGUCCUGCCAGCAACCCCCAACUCUCUAGGGUUGACCUCGGAU
This 481-nucleotide ribosomal RNA is filed under the name Hymenoscyphus fraxineus. Its description in RNAcentral is "eukaryotic LSU rRNA". The stretch from base 165 to 318 matches the Rfam family "5.8S ribosomal RNA". The record is from RNAcentral. Lineage: Eukaryota; Fungi; Ascomycota; Leotiomycetes; Helotiales; Helotiaceae.